Molecule: transfer RNA, 73 nt
Filed under: Bombus asiaticus
Lineage: Eukaryota; Metazoa; Arthropoda; Insecta; Hymenoptera; Apidae
Description: tRNA-Glu
Source: RNAcentral
AUUUAUAUAGUUUCAAAUAAAACAUUAUACUUUCAAUAUAAAAUUAUUAACUAUAUUAUGUUAAUUAUAAAUA